GGGUAAAUGAUGACAGCCUAAUGUCAUGAAAAGAGUUAAUGACAUAAAAAUAAUGCUCAGUAGGAUUACUUUGAGACUG
Molecule: small nucleolar RNA, 79 nt
Organism: Arvicanthis niloticus (Nile rat)
Lineage: Eukaryota; Metazoa; Chordata; Mammalia; Rodentia; Muridae
Product: small nucleolar RNA SNORD115
Source: RefSeq, a predicted model, not a curated record